RNAcentral lists this ribosomal RNA (515 nucleotides) under uncultured bacterium. Its description in RNAcentral is "partial 16S ribosomal RNA". It matches the Rfam family "Bacterial small subunit ribosomal RNA", at positions 28 to 523 of the family's 1533-position model. The record is from RNAcentral.
GAUGAACGCUGGCGGCGUGCCUAAUACAUGCAAGUCGAGCGAAUGGAUUAAGAGCUUGCUCUUAUGAAGUUAGCGGCGGACGGGUGAGUAACACGUGGGUAACCUGCCCAUAAGACUGGGAUAACUCCGGGAAACCGGGGCUAAUACCGGAUAACAUUUUGAACCGCAUGGUUCGAAAUUGAAAGGCGGCUUCGGCUGUCACUUAUGGAUGGACCCGCGUCGCAUUAGCUAGUUGGUGAGGUAACGGCUCACCAAGGCAACGAUGCGGAGCCGACCGGGGAGGGUGAUCGGCCACCAUGGGACUGAGACACGGCCCAGACUCCUACGGGAGGCAGCAGUAGGGAAUCUUCCGCAAUGGGCGAAAGUCUGACGGAGCAACGCCGCGUGAGUGAUGAAGGCUUUCGGGUCGUAAAACUCUGUUGUUAGGGAAGAACAAGUGCUAGUUGAAUAAGCUGGCACCUUGACGGUACCUAACCAGAAAGCCACGGCUAACUACGUGCCAGCCGCCGCGGUAA